Molecule: ribosomal RNA, 439 nt
Filed under: uncultured bacterium
Lineage: Bacteria
Description: partial 16S ribosomal RNA
Rfam family: Bacterial small subunit ribosomal RNA
Source: RNAcentral
CUACGGGUGGCUCCAGUGAGGGAUAUUGCACAAUGGGGGGAACCCUGAUGCAGCAACACCGCGUGGAGGAUGACGCAUUUCGGUGUGUAAACUCCUUUUAUAUGUCAAGAAAAUGACGGUAGCAUAUGAAUAAGCACCGGCUAACUCCGUGCCAGCAGCCGCGGUAAUACGGAGGGUGCAAGCGUUACUCGGAAUCACUGGGCAUAAAGGACGCGUAGGCGGGUUGGAAAGUCAGGUGUGAAAUCAUACAGCUUAACUGUAGAACUGCACUUGAAACUUCUAAUCUAGAGUAUGGGAGGGGGAGAUGGAAUUAGUGGUGUAGGGGUAAAAUCCGUAGAUAUCACUAGGAAUACCUAAAGCGAAGGCGAUCUCCUGGAACAUUACUGACGCUAAGGCGUGAAAGCGUGGGGAGCAAACAGGAUUAGAUACCCCCGUAGUC